GUCUACGGCCAUACCACCCUGAACGCACCCCAUCUCGUCUGAUCUCAGAAGCUAAGCAGGGUCAGGCCUAGCUAGUACCUGGAUGGGAGACCGCCUGGGAAUACCGGGUGCUAUAGGCU
This 119-nucleotide ribosomal RNA is filed under the name Cebus imitator (Panamanian white-faced capuchin). Lineage: Eukaryota; Metazoa; Chordata; Mammalia; Primates; Cebidae. The record is from RNAcentral.